Molecule: ribosomal RNA, 484 nt
Filed under: uncultured bacterium
Lineage: Bacteria
Description: partial 16S ribosomal RNA
Rfam family: Bacterial small subunit ribosomal RNA
Source: RNAcentral
AGUGAACGCUGGCGGCAGGCCUAACACAUGCAAGUCGAGCGGCAGCGGGUCCUUCGGGAUGCCGGCGAGCGGCGGACGGGUGAGGAAUGCGUCGGAAUCUGCCUUUUUGUGGGGGAUAACGUAGGGAAACUUACGCUAAUACCGCAUACGACCUACGGGUGAAAGUGGGGGACCGCAAGGCCUCACGCAGAAAGAUGAGCCGACGUCGGAUUAGCUAGUUGGCGGGGUAAAGGCCCACCAAGGCGACGAUCCGUAGCUGGUCUGAGAGGAUGAUCAGCCACCCUGGAACUGAGACACGGUCCAGGCUCCUACGGGAGGCAACAGUGGGGAAUAUUGGACAAUGGGCGCAAGCCUGAUCCAGCCAUGCCGCGUGUGUGAAGAAGGCCUUCGGGUUGUAAAGCACUUUUGUCCGGAAAGAAAUCCUGUCGGCUAAUACCCGGCGGGGAUGACGGUACCGGAAGAAUAAGCACCGGCUAACUUCGUG